CUCAAUAAUAAACCAAAAAAAUCAAUGUAGGUUGACAUAAAUAAACACGAGAUAAGAACAAGCAAAGAUCUGUUGCUCUGCAGCGUAAGAAAAUGAAUCUACCACAUCCGCGCUUGUCUUAACUGUUCUCGGAGCCCUUGGCUGUGCAGGGUCUUCCCUGUCAUUUCCAUCAUGGCCUGUACUUCAGGAUCUGCAUCUAACCUGCUCCUGUUCUUCAGGUGGCUGCCCAACGCCCCACACCUCCACAGUGUCCAGUUUGAAGUCCUCGUCUCCUGA
Molecule: long non-coding RNA, 276 nt
Organism: Sinocyclocheilus rhinocerous
Lineage: Eukaryota; Metazoa; Chordata; Actinopteri; Cypriniformes; Cyprinidae
Exons: 3
Source: RefSeq, a predicted model, not a curated record